RNAcentral lists this ribosomal RNA (440 nucleotides) under uncultured bacterium. RNAcentral's name for it is "partial 16S ribosomal RNA". It matches the Rfam family "Bacterial small subunit ribosomal RNA", at positions 339 to 795 of the family's 1533-position model. The record is from RNAcentral.
CUACGGGGCGCAGCAGUAGGGAAUAUUGCACAAUGGGCGAAAGCCUGAUGCAGCAACGCCGCGUGCGCGAUGAAGGCCUUCGGGUUGUAAAGCGCUUUUCUGAGGGAAGAGGAAGGACUGUACCUCAGGAAUAAGUCUCGGCUAACUACGUGCCAGCAGCCGCGGUAACACGUAGGAGGCAAGCGUUAUCCGGAUUUACUGGGCGUAAAGCGCGUGUAGGCGGUUUGGCAAGUCGGAUGUGAAAGCCCCUGGCUCAACUGGGAGAGGUCGUUCGAAACUGCCAGACUAGAGGUCGGUAGAGGAAGAUGGAAUUCCCGGUGUAGUAGUGAAAUGCGUAGAUAUCGGGAGGAACACCAGUGGCGAAGGCGGUCUUCUGGGCCGUUCCUGACGCUGAGACGCGAAAGCAUGGGUAGCGAACGGGAUUAGAUACCCCAGUAGUC